UACGAAGGGGGCUAGCGUUGCUCGGAAUCACUGGGCGUAAAGGGUGCGUAGGCAGGUCUUUAAGUCAGGGGUGAAAUCCUGGAGCUCAACUCCAGAACUGCCUUUGAUACUGAGGAUCUUGAGUUCGGGAGAGGUGAGUGGAACUGCGAGUGUAGAGGUGAAAUUCGUAGAUAUUCGCAAGAACACCAGUGGCGAAGGCGGCUCACUGGCCCGGUACUGACGCUGAGGUGCGAAAGCGUGGGGAGCAAACAGG
Molecule: ribosomal RNA, 253 nt
Filed under: uncultured bacterium
Lineage: Bacteria
Description: partial 16S ribosomal RNA
Rfam family: Bacterial small subunit ribosomal RNA
Source: RNAcentral